This 468-nucleotide ribosomal RNA is filed under the name uncultured bacterium. RNAcentral's name for it is "partial 16S ribosomal RNA". It matches the Rfam family "Bacterial small subunit ribosomal RNA", at positions 28 to 507 of the family's 1533-position model. The record is from RNAcentral.
GACGAACGCUGGCGGCGUGCUUAACACAUGCAAGUCGAACGGAAAGGCGCUGCCUUUGUGGGGUGCUCGAGUGGCGAACGGGGGAGUAACACGUGAGUAACCUGUCCCUGACUUUGUGAUAACUUCUGGAAACUGGGGCUCAUACCGGAUAGGAUCUUCUGCUGCAUGGUGGGGGUUGGAAAGUUUCGGCGGUUCGGGAUGGUCUCGCGGCUUAUCCGCUUCUUUGUGGGGUAGUUGCGUACCAGGCCUAUGACGGGUAGGCGGCCUGGGAGGGUGACCGGGCACAUUGGGACUGAGGUACGGACCAGACUGCUACGGGAGGCAGCAGUGGGGAAUAUUGCACAAUGGGCGGAAGCCUGAUGCAGCAACGCCGCGUGCGGGAUGCCGGCCUUCGGGUUGUAAACCGCUUUCGCCUGUGACGAAGCGUGAGUGACGGUAAUGGGUAAAGAAGCACCGGCUAACUACGUG